RNAcentral lists this ribosomal RNA (570 nucleotides) under uncultured bacterium. Its description in RNAcentral is "bacterial LSU rRNA". It matches the Rfam family "Bacterial large subunit ribosomal RNA", at positions 613 to 1180 of the family's 2925-position model. The record is from RNAcentral.
UAAUGGGUCAGCGAGUUUCCGUUCGCGGCGAGCUUAAGCCGAUAGGCGAAGGCGUAGCGAAAGCGAGUCUGAACAGGGCGUUCAGUCGCGGGCGGAAGACCCGAAACCGAGUGAUCUAGCCAUGGCCAGGUUGAAGGUGGGGUAACACCCACUGGAGGACCGAACCCACGCCUGUUGAAAAAGUCGGGGAUGAGCUGUGGCUAGGGGUGAAAGGCCAAUCAAACUCGGAAAUAGCUGGUUCUCCGCGAAAUCUAUUGAGGUAGAUCGUCACGUGUUUACCCUCGGGGGUAGAGCACUGGAUGGGCUAGGGGGGCCCAAAGCCUUACCAAACCUAACCAAACUCCGAAUACCGAGGAGUAUAGCGUGGCAGACAGACGGCGGGUGCUAAGGUCCGUCGUCGAGAGGGAAACAGCCCAGACCACCAGCUAAGGUCCCCAAAUCGUGGCUAAGUGGGAAAGGAUGUGGGAAUUCCAAAACAACCAGGAGGUUGGCUUAGAAGCAGCCAUCCUUUAAAGAAAGCGUAAUAGCUCACUGGUCUAAUAGAAAUCCCGCGCCGAAAAUGUAACGGGG